UACGUAGGGUGCGAGCGUUAUUCGGAAUUACUGGGCGUAAAGCGUGCGCAGGCGGUUUUGUAAGCCAGAUGUGAAAUCCCCGGGCUCAACCUGGGAAUGGCAUUUGGGACUGCAAGGCUGGAGUUUGGCAGAGGAGACUGGAAUUCCUGGUGUAGCAGUGAAAUGCGUAGAUAUCAGGAGGAAUACCGAUGGCGAAGGCAGGUCUCUGGGCUAUAACUGACGCUCAUGCACGAAAGCGUGGGGAGCAAACAGG
RNAcentral lists this ribosomal RNA (253 nucleotides) under uncultured bacterium. RNAcentral's name for it is "partial 16S ribosomal RNA". It matches the Rfam family "Bacterial small subunit ribosomal RNA", at positions 524 to 776 of the family's 1533-position model. The record is from RNAcentral.